AACGAACGCUGGCGGCAUGCCUAACACAUGCAAGACGAACGAGACCUUCGGGUCUAGUGGCGCACGGGUGCGUAACGCGUGGGAAUCUGCCCUUGGGUUCGGAAUAACUCGCCGAAAGGCGUGCUAAUACCGGAUGAUGACGUAAGUCCAAAGAUUUAUCGCCCAAGGAUGAGCCCGCGUUGGAUUAGCUCGUUGGUGAGGUAAAGGCUCACCAAGGCGACGAUCCAUAGCUGGUCUGAGAGGAUGCUCAGCCACACUGGGACUGAGACACGGCCCAGACUCCUACGGGAGGCAGCAGUGGGGAAUAUUGGACAAUGGGCGAAAGCCUGAUCCAGCAAUGCCGCGUGAGUGAUGAAGGCCUUAGGGUUGUAAAGCUCUUUUACCCGGGAUGAUAAUGACCGUACCGGGAGAAUAAGCUCCGGCUAACUCCGUG
Molecule: ribosomal RNA, 433 nt
Filed under: uncultured bacterium
Lineage: Bacteria
Description: partial 16S ribosomal RNA
Rfam family: Bacterial small subunit ribosomal RNA
Source: RNAcentral